RNAcentral lists this ribosomal RNA (506 nucleotides) under uncultured Alistipes sp. RNAcentral describes it as "bacterial SSU rRNA". It matches the Rfam family "Bacterial small subunit ribosomal RNA", at positions 12 to 507 of the family's 1533-position model. Lineage: Bacteria; Pseudomonadati; Bacteroidota; Bacteroidia; Bacteroidales; Rikenellaceae. The record is from RNAcentral.
UUUGAUCCUGGCGUCAGGAUGAACGCUAGCGGCAGGCCUAACACAUGCAAGUCGAGGGGCGAUCGGAUUGAAGCUUGCUUCAAUUGCCGGCGACCGGCGCACGGGUGCGUAACGCGUAUGUAACCUACCUAUAACAGGGGCAUAACACUGAGAAAUUGGUACUAAUUCCCCAUAAUAUUCGGAGAGGCAUCUCUCCGGGUUGAAAACUCCGGUGGUUAUAGAUGGACAUGCGUUGUAUUAGCUAGUUGGUGAGGUAACGGCUCACCAAGGCAACGAUACAUAGGGGGACUGAGAGGUUAACCCCCCACACUGGUACUGAGACACGGACCAGACUCCUACGGGAGGCAGCAGUGAGGAAUAUUGGUCAAUGGACGCAAGUCUGAACCAGCCAUGCCGCGUGCAGGAAGACGGCUCUAUGAGUUGUAAACUGCUUUUGUACGAGGGUAAACUCACCUACGUGUAGGUGACUGAAAGUAUCGUACGAAUAAGGAUCGGCUAACUCCGUG